GCAGAAUCCCGUGAACCAUCGAGUCUUUGAACGCAAGUUGCGCCCUAGGCCUUCGGGCCGAGGGCACGCCUGCCUGGGCGUCACGUAUCGUGUCGCCCGC
RNAcentral lists this ribosomal RNA (100 nucleotides) under Banksia brownii. RNAcentral's name for it is "partial 5.8S ribosomal RNA". The stretch from base 1 to 83 matches the Rfam family "5.8S ribosomal RNA", at positions 74 to 154 of the family's 154-position model. Rfam says of the family: 5.8S ribosomal RNA (5.8S rRNA) is a component of the large subunit of the eukaryotic ribosome. It is transcribed by RNA polymerase I as part of the 45S precursor that also contains 18S and 28S rRNA. Lineage: Eukaryota; Viridiplantae; Streptophyta; Magnoliopsida; Proteales; Proteaceae. The record is from RNAcentral.